CAAUUUUCAAUUGAUCAGAUAAUUAAAUACAAAAUACUUAUUUGGGUUUCUUCUCUUGAUUUUUUAAAACAAAUUAAGAAACAGCACAGAAAUGCUGAGCAAAAUUUGAAUCAGUAUCCUGAUUUGAUUCCUCUUGCACCACCCCCAGAGAGUGCAUCCUUACAUACUUAGAUGGCAGUAAUCAGAGGCAAAUGCCUGAAUUCAAGAACAUAAUUCAACAGCUCAGCAGUAGUGCCAACCUCAAGAUCAAGGUUUUCAGAGAAUGUUUUUUCCUCAGCUUCUAAUUGUCUGCCAUCCAGACUUGGAAGGGAAGGUGCAGAAUUGAAGUCUUCACUGAGAGCAGUUUCUUUAUCUUCUCCUAGUCUUUCUUUCUCCUCCACAUGCCUACUCUUUCUUAACAAGCUCCUUGGCAGAGGUAAAGGCUUAAAAUGGUCAUCUGUUUCAAGGCUGCUGCUAUUUUCUGCUAAAAAAUAAAAUGUUUUAAGAUGA
Molecule: non-coding RNA, 489 nt
Organism: Ictidomys tridecemlineatus (thirteen-lined ground squirrel)
Lineage: Eukaryota; Metazoa; Chordata; Mammalia; Rodentia; Sciuridae
Source: RefSeq, a predicted model, not a curated record